GGGCGCGUAGCUCAGCGGGAGAGCACACCCUUCACACGGGUGGGGUCGUAGGUUCAAUCCCUACCGCGCCCACCA
This 75-nucleotide transfer RNA is filed under the name Enhydrobacter aerosaccus. RNAcentral's name for it is "tRNA_Val_CAC". It matches the Rfam family "tRNA". Rfam says of the family: Transfer RNA (tRNA) molecules are approximately 80 nucleotides in length. Their secondary structure includes four short double-helical elements and three loops (D, anti-codon, and T loops). The record is from RNAcentral. Lineage: Bacteria; Pseudomonadati; Pseudomonadota; Alphaproteobacteria; Hyphomicrobiales. RNAcentral also lists the same sequence under 21 other names.